UUUUUGGAGAGUUUGAUCCUGGCUCAGGACGAACGCUGGCGGCGUGCCUAAUACAUGCAAGUCGAGCGGAUGAAAAGGAGCUUGCUCCUUUGAA
Molecule: ribosomal RNA, 94 nt
Filed under: Bacillus sp. (in: firmicutes)
Lineage: Bacteria; Bacillati; Bacillota; Bacilli; Caryophanales; Bacillaceae
Description: Bacillus sp. (in: Bacteria) partial 16S ribosomal RNA
Rfam family: Bacterial small subunit ribosomal RNA
Source: RNAcentral